Long non-coding RNA from Passer domesticus (house sparrow), 5462 nucleotides. RefSeq lists it as uncharacterized. Lineage: Eukaryota; Metazoa; Chordata; Aves; Passeriformes; Passeridae. The transcript has 8 exons. The record is from RefSeq and is a predicted model, not a curated record.
CAUCCCACCUUUUAUGGGAGGGUUUUAUACUUUGGUAUUUAGAUGCCUGUAGCUUUCAAACAUGCUCAAGACUGAACAGAAGCAAAUUUGUCUUGAUGUUGAUGCUGAAUGUUUUUCUACAGACAGGUGCCCAGUCUGGGUUGUCUCCUUCUGUCUGCACUGUUCAGAUUCUCUUGUAAUUUCUGCAAAGACUGACCCUCACCAUGCUCCACUCUGAGUUAGAGCAGAUGUUAGAAUGGUUUUGAAAUUUGAGAAACAGAAGGAGUCAUGGUCAGCUGUGGCUGGUCCCUUGCCCACUCUGUUUCCCAGACAUGUGUUUUUCCUAUCAGUGAGAGGCUCUGCAGAAUGCUGAAUUUGUGCAAUGGGAUUCUGAACUCCCACAGGCAACUGCUUUAGUCUCAUGAAGAUUUGGCUACUACAAAACAGGCACCAAGUUUUAUCUUCUUCCAUUGGAAAAAUGAGGCAACAGCUGUGUUCUGAACAGCUGCAACUUCAAGACUUUUCAGCAGUUCCUACCAAAAAUUCUGGCAAGGUGCAAACAAGCUGGCUCAGGUGCAAGGAGGAAAAUGCUGAUGAGUGAGGAUGUGACACUGAAGUUCCUGUCACUAUUUAGCAGCUGCAGAGGCUGAAGAGAUGACCAGGCAGUUUGGGAAUACACAGCCAUCAUCUCAUCCAUUGUUUCUAUACUUUGCAGUGAGCUGGAGCUAUCUAUUAUCAGCCCAACCAUGAUCCUGCUCUCACACCACUGCUGGACACCAAGGAGAUGUGUUGGGCACCCAGUCACCAGCAAACUGAUCUGUGAAAAGGGAGGAUCCUUGAUUGUGCUGUGUUCCUCUUUUCCUCCUCUUUUAUUUUUUUUUUCUCUUCUAGUAACAAUUUUACUUAUUAUGUAAGCACCGUGUUUCUGACUACUGGAUUAUUUCUCUUCUUUUCUGUGAACUAUUACUAAUGACUAUCAACUCCACAGGCUCACCUCCCUUUGUUUUGGUUCCCUUAUUUUGCAUGGCUCAGUAACCUACUGCUUUCUUGUUCAUAGUGUGAGCUUCACCAGCUUGUGCUCAAGUCUUUGGUCUGUGGCACUCUGUCCUGUUAGGAUAUUAGCUUGUAAAGAGCCAUUAAAUGUUUGCUUCUGAGCUCUAAGUGAUUCCAGCAGACAAUAUUAUUUUUGACAUAAAAUAACAUUCUACCUCCCUCUUUGUCCACUCAUCCAUUCCUAAACAGGUAAUAGGAGAAGAAGCAGCAUUUCAGUCCUGCAGUUCUCAGCAAGUUUCAUUCUUCCCCAGAAAGCUGAAUAUAUGCUCAAAAAUACAUUUCAAUUCCCAUUAUUACAUAGGUCAGUAACUUUGUUGUAUAGGAAAUUAGAACAUUUAUCUCCUCUUAUCCCCGAGUGCCUUGAUUACUUUUAUUCUUGGCGUCUUGAUUUUUUGAUGAAGUAGUGCUUAUUUAUCCCCUUCUCUUUUAAUAAUUCAAUACCUUCUAAGUUAUCCUUCUUGCUUGUCCCAUUAAGCAGUGAGUUGCAGGUUACCCUAGAAGUAACUUUCCUUUAAAAUAGAUUAGUCUUGCACAAAAAUCCUCUACUUAAUUCCCUGUUUCCCCAGCAUUCACUUCCACAGCCUUACCCACUGCUUCUUUCACAGAACAGCAAAAGACAGCCCCUGGAUGUGGUCCUUGCAUGUUCAGUGUCACUGCAUGUCCUUUGUGAGCCAUCUGCAGUCUGUGCAUCCAUGAUGCAACCUUGGAGUGAUUAAAAGCUGCAUCAAAUAGCAGCCAACCAUGGGGUAUUUGUAUUUUUGCAACCAUGUUGCUCUGUCAAGGCAACUUCUGCAGUUUCUCUUUAUACCUUUUAGUGCCUGAAUGCUUUCCCUGUUUGCUUUGGGUUUCAUAUGCUGUAGGUCCCUUCUGACUUCAGUAAGAAAUAAAACCUGGCCUGUCCACUCACACUCACUGAUCCAUCUCUGUCUACAACAUAUGAGAUGUAGAAUGCUGUCUGAAAGGAAAAUAUCUCACUCUGCUUCUCAAGUUUUCUUUUGAAAUGCUUGGUGCCUUGUUUUUGUUUAUUUUUUCUUCUCCCCUUUUCUUUGAGGAGCAGAUAUUUCAGAGCAGAGUAGGCUGAGGGUUUGAAGACUGCAGUCUGAUGGUAUCAAAAUGACUCAACUGGCUCCUUCUGCUAAGUCAGAGCCCACUGCUCCAUUCUAUAACCCAGAGGGAAAUCUAAGACAAGCCAAACACCACCACUCAGCACUGCCAUGUAAAAAAUAAGGAGAUGUGAGAGACCUGUCAUCCUGCUAGAAGAAGAAUAAUCCUUCAACUCCUCUUCAUUUAGAUAUCUCUUUGCUUUUUUGGGAGUCACUUAAUCAUAGGAGAUUAAACAUGUGCCAUAUGUAUAAGUAAUGCUGUUCCAGGGAUUUAAUGGGAGCAGACUGAUUAAAUCCUAUCAAGGAUACAGUUGUCAUCAGAACUGUCUUGAGAUAAUGAACUUGACACUGAAGUAGAAUCCAUCACUCCACUACUGAAUUACUAGACUUAGGAGUUUUUGCCAAAAUUUAGAGCCAACUCACCAUACAUCCAUGUAGGUAUAAGACAUGAAUUAAAAUCUUGCCCUUUUCUGGGUCUUUAGACAUUAAGUAUCAAACUAUAAGAAGAAUAUUAGGAUUUACCAUAUGAACUAAUUCUGGGGUACAUCACUGCUACUGGUUUUUUUGUUUGUUUGGUUUUGGGUUUUUUUUUAAAGCAUGGAUGAAAGGAAUGAUGCAUCCUGCCUUUCAGAAAACAUGGAAAGCUAAAACCACUAUUCUAACUUUUCUUAGCAUUGAACAUAAUUGUGAGUCUGGAGGACCCAAUUUACAGCUGAUGUCUACCUAAAAUAAUGAAAAAAAUCAUGUUACCAAACUGGGGAGUGAUAUAACCAUUAGUUUACAGUUCCAGACACUGAGUAAAUAAAAUAUUUUUUGUGGCCUUCUUUUGUAAAGUUGUUACUAGUAGAGAUUCUUUGGUUUGCUUUUUAAACACCUUUAGAAAAAAACUCACAUAGAAGCUACUUAAGUUAUCAUGUUGCAAGCAUCUUUAAUCAUAAAUGAAACUUGUAUAUUGAUGAGUUCUCAAUUUCAGGCAUCGUAUCAGUGACAAACAUAUUCUGAAUCAUUUCAAGUGUAUACAGCAAAAUUUGUCAGAUGCACUAUUUCUGACCAUGAGUAGCAGCCAUCAGUGUCAGCUGACAGAAAUGAUGGAAUCUACCUGUUUCGUGUUGCUGUUUCUACUCCAAACUUUGAGGAAAGGGGGCUACAAGUUAAAGUGAAUGUAUUGUUUAUUGCAAAACUGGACUGACCAAGCUGGACACCUGAAUUCUCUAUUUAAUUACAAGCAAGAUAUGGCACAGACAAGAGCCAGGCCAUAUUUUCAUGUCUCUUCACCAGCGGUUUUUGGUUCUGGACAAACAGAGCAUCCUGCCCUCUGGAGCUGCCAGUUUUCCUAGAAAUUGCAUCCAGAGACACCUUUUUGGGUCCACUUUCAUUAAGAGUUUUACACUGUGUGGUGAAGCUCCCUAGCAGGAGCUCCUGCACAAUAAAGGUGGUAACUGGAGCAUCCACUUCCCAAACAAGGCUUGUCAGUGGGAGUGAGUUCUGAGAGUUGUGCUGAAAAUCAUUUUGGAAGGAGGCAAAUCAGGGCAGGAAACAGAGAACAGCAUUGGGAGAUAUCACUUACCUCAUAUACCCUGACUAAAUUUAAUUUCAAGAUGCAGCCACCCCAUUAAUGCCUGCUUUUAUGGCAAACAGUCCACAGACCCAAAGAGGACAAGUAACUAUUAGCUCUGAAGAGGUCCCAGGGCUGGAGGCUGAGAAUGUACAGAUAGAAGAACCACCCAAUGUCUGUGACCAGAAGAUAUAUGGAUUUAAUAGUGGUACUGAGAUGGAAACAAUGGAUAUCCCUUGCAGUAGAAGUGUUGGAAAGGAAAAAUACUACCCUAAAAUGAGUAAGCUUUUAAAAGGAAAUUUAACAUGAGUGGACAAUGAGGUUAAACGCUAUUAAAAUACAUUGUACUAGAAACUUAUGGCCUAAGAGGACCAUUCCUACACUUUAAAGCUGGAAUACCUGAACAUAAGAAAAAAGUGAAAAAAAAAACCCUGUCACAUCUAUAAAAGUGGCAGUGGUACCCACUUGAAAAAAAAAAUAACAAAUAAAAUACCAAUGAACAGCAAAGCAGCCAAAAGAAAAGAAAAAGACAGGAGCAACUUGGUGAAGACAUAAUGCCAAAAAUCAAAACUUCUUCAAACAUAUCAGAAAGAGGGAGUCUGUCAGAGCCAGUAGGACAAAUAGACAAUGAAGAUGAAAAGCUUCGAUCCUCACUUAUUGCAAAGGAAGGUGGGGAAUUUAUCACUGUUGCAGAGGAGCAGAGACCAGGAUCAUGGAAAAUUGAUCAUGUCAGCAAGAAUUAUCAUCAACAAACAUUUCAGAAAUCAAUAAAUUAAUGCAAAUCUCCUGUUUUUUGUUUUUUGUUUUUGUUUUUUUUUAAUUCUGAUCAGUGAACUCUAUAGAAUCAUAGACUUGACAAACUAUUAAGCAAAUAACCUACCUGCUGCUGGAUCCAGAAUCAGGGGAAUAAAAGAAAUGGUUAAUAUGGUACCAUAAAGAUGUUUCCCAAGAUGACCUGACUCAAAGGUUUAGUCAGGUCAUCUUGGGAAAGACGAAGCAGUUCUUUUGACUUUAGCACCAGCCAGACUGGCAAGGAACUGUAAGAGAAAUGGGAUUAAUAAAUAUGGAGGGAAUGAUAGAUUUGGGACGAGUCACAGGAAUGGCUUGUGAAACUAUAAGUAUUCUGUGAAGAUGGCAGUUUACUGGAUUGGUGGACCUGUCAUUACAGGGAUAAAAUGUGGGAUUAUGUGUAUGUGGGAUUAAUAAAAUAGGGUGACAAGGGCUUCCAUUAAAAAGUACUGAAGAAGAUUUACUUCAAUUAACCAAAAUAAUUUUUACUCUGUCCUGUUGUAACAACGUAUGCUAGUAAAUGAACAUUUUGUAUUAUUGAGAGGCUCAAAAGCUAUGUAGUGGGACCUGUCAUUAUCAGCAUAUUUACAAAUUAUAACAAAGAAAGGUAAACAGUGGCGAACCAAUUUUUGAAAAUUAUUCAGGAUAGCUAAUUCUGAAGAUGAAUUCCUGCAGAGAUGAAGAAAAUUCACAGUGCUGAAUGACUAGGUGAAGAUCAGAUGAUAUUUGGGAUUGAUAAAUGGAAAUUAAUCUACAAGAAAGAAUAAGAACUCUAUGUCUCUGUGCUCAAUAGGAGAUAUACAAACAAUACUAUCACACAGAAGUGAAACUUUGGGGUCAUUCCUGGCUAUUCUCUAAAAAGAGUGAUGGAAAUUUCUUGUCAACAAGACAUAUGCACAGCAGUGCUGUGACAGAGAGUUAAAUGACUAGUUCUGAGAAAACCCACACAACUAAAUCCAUCCAGAUGGGUGAUUCAAAAUACU